RNAcentral lists this long non-coding RNA (215 nucleotides) under Mytilus galloprovincialis (Mediterranean mussel). Lineage: Eukaryota; Metazoa; Mollusca; Bivalvia; Mytilida; Mytilidae. The record is from RNAcentral.
GGUUUGAGAUAAUAAACAAUUUCAGAGUGUCAAAACAUUCUAAAUCAUCAGUCGUUAAUAAACUGACAACGCCAUGGCUAAAACAGACAGACCAAUAAACAAAUAAUAAAACACAAAAUACAACAUAGAAAACUAAAUACUGAGCAACACGAACACAGCCAAAAACUUGGAUUGAUCUCUGUGAACUUCGGAUGCCAACGUAAAAUUCGGGAGCA